GAUAAACGCUGGCGGCGUGCCUAACACAUGCAAGUCGAACGCCCUUAGCAAUAAGGGAGUGGCGGACGGGUGAGGAACACGUGGGUCAUCUACCUUGGGGUGAGGAAUACCACCGGGAAACCGGUGACAAUACCGCAUACGCUUCUUCCGGGAAGCAAAGCCUUCGGGCGCCACAAGAUGAGCCUGCGGCCGAUUAGUUUGUUGGUGGGGUAAUGGCUUACCAAGACCGCGAUCGGUAACUGGUCUGAGAGGACGGUCAGUCACACUGGGAUUGAGAACGGCCCAGACUCCUACGGGGGGCAGCAGUGAGGAAUUUUCGUCAAUGGGGGAAACCCUGAACGAGCAACGCCGCGUGCAGGAUGACGGCCUUCGGGUUGUAAACUGCUUUUCUCUGGGACGAGAACGGACGGUACCAGAGGAAUCAGCUCCGGCUAACUACGUGCCAGCCGCCGCAGUAAAAC
Molecule: ribosomal RNA, 461 nt
Filed under: uncultured bacterium
Lineage: Bacteria
Description: bacterial SSU rRNA
Rfam family: Bacterial small subunit ribosomal RNA
Source: RNAcentral